RNAcentral lists this non-coding RNA (135 nucleotides) under Fulmarus glacialis (Northern fulmar). RNAcentral's name for it is "Eukaryotic large subunit ribosomal RNA". It matches the Rfam family "Eukaryotic large subunit ribosomal RNA", at positions 3022 to 3144 of the family's 3401-position model. The record is from Rfam by way of RNAcentral. Lineage: Eukaryota; Metazoa; Chordata; Aves; Procellariiformes; Procellariidae.
UAGACAUCCUGCUCAGUACGAGAGGAACCGCAGGGUCAGAGCCCUCGUGUGGGCACUUGGCUGAGGAGCCACCAGCGCGAGGCUACCGUCUGUGGGCGUAUGACUGAAUGCUUUUAAGUCAGAAACCUGCCGAGA